AUGUCAAUUGUGUUAAUAAUAUGCAAAACCCCAAGCUUGGGGAUACUAGUUUUGCUAUGUCCACUACUUAUUGCAAUGAUCAUGAUUGGGGGUGAUAAUGCUUCUUAUGAUCUUGAAAAUUUGUUUAAGCCUCAUGAUGAAUAUGAUAUUGAUAAUAAUAUUUGCAAUAAUAUUGAAAGUGAGUUUGGAAGAGUGUCAACUUUAAGAAAUAAUGAUCCCACUACUUUGGAGAUUGAUCAAUCUUAUGAAUAUUUUGAUAAAAGUGGGCUUGGAGAAGUGAUACGUCCAUUUUGCAUCAUGCUUUUAUAUCGCUAUUUAUUGCAUUAUGGGCUGUUAUUACACGUUAUGUCACAAUACUUAUGGCUAUUAUCUCUUAUUUUACAAGGUUUAUCAUGA
Molecule: ribosomal RNA, 396 nt
Filed under: Triticum aestivum (bread wheat)
Lineage: Eukaryota; Viridiplantae; Streptophyta; Magnoliopsida; Poales; Poaceae
Description: partial small subunit ribosomal RNA
Source: RNAcentral